ACUCCUACGGGAGGCAGCAGUGGGAAUAUUGCACAAUGGGCGCAAGCCUGAUGCAGCCAUGCCGCGUGUAUGAAGAAGGCCUUCGGGUUGUAAAGUACUUUCAGCAGUGAGGAAGGUGGGUAUGUUAAUAGCAUACUCAUUUGACGUUAGCUGCAGAAGAAGCACCGGCUAACUCCGUGCCAGCAGCCGCGGUAAUACGGAGGGUGCGAGCGUUAAUCGGAAUUACUGGGCGUAAAGCGCACGUAGGCGGAUUGGAAAGUUGGGGUGAAAUCCCGGGGCUCAACCCCGGAACGGCCUCCAAAACUCCCAGUCUGGAGUUCGAGAGAGGUGAGUGGAAUUCCGAGUGUAGAGGUGAAAUUCGUAGAUAUUCGGAGGAACACCAGUGGCGAAGGCGGCUCACUGGCUCGAUACUGACGCUGAGGUGCGAAAGUGUGGGAGCAAACAGGAUUACAUACCCUGGUAGGCUC
This 467-nucleotide ribosomal RNA is filed under the name uncultured bacterium. Its description in RNAcentral is "bacterial SSU rRNA". It matches the Rfam family "Bacterial small subunit ribosomal RNA", at positions 335 to 797 of the family's 1533-position model. The record is from RNAcentral.